Molecule: transfer RNA, 75 nt
Filed under: Caudoviricetes sp.
Lineage: Duplodnaviria; Heunggongvirae; Uroviricota; Caudoviricetes
Description: tRNA-Thr
Rfam family: tRNA
About the family: Transfer RNA (tRNA) molecules are approximately 80 nucleotides in length. Their secondary structure includes four short double-helical elements and three loops (D, anti-codon, and T loops). Further hydrogen bonds mediate the characteristic L-shaped molecular structure. tRNAs have two regions of fundamental functional importance: the anti-codon, which is responsible for specific mRNA codon recognition, and the 3' end, to which the tRNAs corresponding amino acid is attached (by aminoacyl-tRNA synthetases). tRNAs cope with the degeneracy of the genetic code in two manners: having more than one tRNA (with a specific anti-codon) for a particular amino acid; and 'wobble' base-pairing, i.e. permitting non-standard base-pairing at the 3rd anti-codon position.
Source: RNAcentral
GCUUCCGUGGCUCAGUUGGUAGAGCAACGCAUUCGUAAUGCGUAGGUCGCCGGUUCGAGUCCGGCCGGGAGCUUA